UCUCCUGGAAACGGGUGGUAAUGCCGGAUGUUCCACAUGAGCGCAUGCGAGUGUGGGAAAGGCUUUUUGCGGCAUGGGAUGGGGUCGCGUCCUAUCAGCUUGUUGGUGGGGUAACGGCCUACCAAGGCGUUGACGGGUAGCCGGCCUGAGAGGGCGACCGGCCACAUUGGGACUGAGAUACGGCCCAGACUCCUACGGGAGGCAGCAGUGGGGAAUAUUGCACAAUGGGCGCAAGCCUGAUGCAGCGACGCCGCGUGCGGGACGGAGGCCUUCGGGUUGUAAACCGCUUUUGUUCAAGGGCAAGGCACGGUUUCGGCCGUGUUGAGUGGAUUGUUCGAAUAAGCACCGGCUAACUACGUGCCAGCAGCCGCGGUAAUACGUAGGGUGCAAGCGUUAUCCGGAUUUAUUGGGCGUAAAGGGCUCGUAGGCGGUUCGUCGCGUCCGGUGUGAAAGUCCAUCGCUUAACGGUGGAUCCGCGCCGGGUACGGGCGGGCUUGAGUGCGGUAGGGGAGACUGGAAUUCCCGGUGUAACGGUGGAAUGUGUAGAUAUCGGGAGACACCA
RNAcentral lists this ribosomal RNA (562 nucleotides) under uncultured Bifidobacterium sp. RNAcentral's name for it is "bacterial SSU rRNA". It matches the Rfam family "Bacterial small subunit ribosomal RNA", at positions 146 to 711 of the family's 1533-position model. The record is from RNAcentral. Lineage: Bacteria; Bacillati; Actinomycetota; Actinomycetes; Bifidobacteriales; Bifidobacteriaceae.